CCCGUGGAGUUCAUGGCCUCCUAUUAUUUAGCAGAUUUGUUUUUGCAUCCUGGUUGAACCUUCUAGUUUGAGAGGAAAAAAAACUCUAUCGGGAUCAUAUAUGUGCCUUUGCAGGGACGCGGGGGGCAUAACCUAACAAAUGUGUGGGGUCAAUUGGUAAGGACUGCUUUCCGUUUGUUAUUCCUCCAGAGGUAGGAACUUUAGGCGAGUACUGUUUCCCAAGGGGACGCUACUGAGAAGCUGGCUCACCAAGUCCCGGCCCAGACUGCUGCUGCUCAUCGCGGGGUUGAAAAGGCCUCAGGUGACCCUCAUGCGGAGGAAGAGGAUGAAACGCACGAAAGUAGCAAAGGCCACGUAAGCGAACCUGCAAUCGAAUGCCGCAUUUCACUUGAGGUCUUGGCAAAGAGGAUCUCCCCACCGGAGUUCGAUAUGGAAGACAUGGAAGAACUACGUUUUGAAUCUUUGUCGAAGCAACGAACUAAACGCCAAAGCAAACAGAAAAGAGGUUUACCGUCUUUUGUGAAAACAAGGGAUCUGCAACAGAGAUCUAGACCCCCUGAUUAAAUCGAGAUCUUCUCCUACACGCCCAUUUGUAUAUCUCUUCAAAUCCAAAUUUGUUAUGGUUCAUUAUAGUACAAUGAGUGUGACUUGUACAUUAUUUACAUCCAGUGGCAUACAUUUAGUUUAACAGAACUGACUAUCGCUGUGUUCUUAGGGUAGAUCUUUUCUAGUCAGAGAAUGAUUUGUUGUUUCACAUAAGCAAAUUUGUGUUUGAGUGGGUGAAUAAGAAAAUAGUGCCUCUCCAUGGCUAGCAGGUGCAAAUAUCUAAACCACAGUAGGUACACACGAUUAAUGCAACUCUGGGCCAAUGAAAGAGUCGCCAUUAACAAUCUGACCCAUCAUUUUUCCUUAUUUUACAUAAACCAUCCAAGUGACUUGAAAGGAGGAAAAAGAGAGCGAGAAGGGGUAAAACCUUGAUGUAAACAUUCAAAAAUCUAAUCAAAUUGUAUUGGUCACAUACACAUAUUUUGCAGAUGUUAUUGCAGAUGUAGCAAAAUGCUUGUUUUCCUUUACAAAUAGGUACCAAUUCUAGGCAACACUUUUACACUCAAAUCAUAAAGCCUACUUUUGCAGUGCCAUGGACAGGACAGAAAAUCUGUUUGGCAAUUAACAUUUUGUUAAUUUUUUUACUACAUUAUCUAAUAUUGCCUAUUGUAUUAAGGUGAAUGGCAAGCUUUCACAAAUCAGGUAUCAUGAAACAAACCGCUUAAAAUAUCAUAUGACACUGCAAUGUAUCGGCAAGGUUUCAAGUAAAGCAAGUUAAUAUUUUGGUAAAGUUUAUUUUACCAACCCAAGUAAUACACUUUUUUUUAAAUCAGAUCAUAAAUUACAUAAACAUUACAAUGACUUAACCUCGCUAGCAAAAAAAGUUUGCACCAUUUGAAAGUUAUAGUUAACACAAUUAACAAUUUAUAGAUUUGUUUGUCUUACUUUUAUAAUCAUAUUGUCAUUUUUGCUAACAUGAGAUGGGAAGCACAAUGUCUCACCAUACAAAAAUAUAAGUAUCGUUUUUCACAUUGAUAGCAAUCUUUGAGUAUUAUAAAUUAUUCAUUUUUCCAUGGUUACACUUUAUACCAAGUUGUCCCAUUUCACAUGUAAAUACAUUAACUUUCGUUACACAAUCUUCAAAGGACAAAAUUGGAAUAGUCAAAAUGAACGUAGAUAAUUACUAAACUCUAGUUCAAGCUCAACUUUGGUUUGAACCACACACAUUGAAAUUCCUCCAACAACGCGUCACUCAGAGGAACAUCAGCUUUGUUACUCAUGCUCUAACAAAUUAUUUCUUAAAACAAUAAACUGCCAACUUAAUAUAAAGUGUGACCAGAUACAUUCUCAUGGAUUAAUGCGGUCGCUUUGUUUCAAUGUGUAUUUGUUCUAAACUGUACUUAAGUGAUUCAUAUUUUUAACAUGUUUCAUAAUUGUGAA
Molecule: non-coding RNA, 1986 nt
Organism: Salvelinus sp. IW2-2015
Lineage: Eukaryota; Metazoa; Chordata; Actinopteri; Salmoniformes; Salmonidae
Source: RefSeq, a predicted model, not a curated record